Molecule: long non-coding RNA, 911 nt
Filed under: Nicotiana tabacum (common tobacco)
Lineage: Eukaryota; Viridiplantae; Streptophyta; Magnoliopsida; Solanales; Solanaceae
Description: long non-coding RNA (NTAB_LNC015652)
Source: RNAcentral
GGUCAGUUGUUGUUCUCGAAUUUUGUUCCCAGCCAGUCAGCAUUAGGGUCUUAAACCCUAAACUGAAUUUUCCCUUUCAGUCAGCAUUAGGGUUUUAAACCCUAAACUGAACUUUUUCCCUUCAGCCAGCAUUAGGGUUUUAAACCCUAAACUGAGCUUUUCCAUGCGGUCAGCAAUAGGGUUUUAAACCCUGAACUGAACUUUUUCCUUUAGACAGCAUUAGGGUUUUAAACCCUAAACUGAACUUUUCCCAUUCAGCCAGCAUUAGGGUUUUAAACCCUAAACUGAGCUUUUCCUUCCAGUCAGCAUUAGGGUUUUAAACCCUAAACUGAAUUUUUUCUUUCAGUCAGCAUUAGGGUUUUAAACCCUGAACUGAAUUUUUUCCUUUAGUCAGCAUUAGGGUUUUAAACCCUAAAUUGAACUUUUUUCCAUUCAGCCAGCAUUAGGGUUUUAAACCCUAAACUGAACUUUUUCCAUUCAGCCAGCAUUAGGGGUUUUAAACCCUAAACUGAGCUUUUCCAUGCAAUCAGCAUUAGGGUUUUAAACCCUAAACUGAAUUUUUCCUUUAGUCGGCAUUAGGAUUUUAAACCCUAAACUGAACUUUUCCCAUGCAAUCAGCAUUAGGGUUUUAAACCCUAAACUGAGCUUUUCCAUGCAAUCAGCAUUAGGGUUUUAAACACUAAACUGAAUUUUUCCUUUAGUCAGCAUUAGGGUUUUAAACCCUAAACUGAACUCUUCCCAUUCAGCCAGCAUUAGGGUUUUAAACCCUAAACUGAGCUUUUCCAUGCAAUCAGCAUUAGGGGUUUAAACCCUAAACUGAAUUUUUCCUUUAGUCAGCAUUAAGGUUUUAAACCCUAAACUGAACUUUUCCCAUGCAAUCAGCAUUAGGGUUUUAAACCCUAAACUAAGCU